CAGCUCCUACGGGACGCAGCAGUGAGGAAUAUUGGUCAAUGGACGAGAGUCUGAACCAGCCAAGUCGCGUGAAGGAUGACUGCCCUAUGGGUUGUAAACUUCUUUUAUAUGGGAAUAAAGUGAGCCACGUGUGGCUUUUUGUAUGUACCAUACGAAUAAGGAUCGGCUAACUCCGUGCCAGCAGCCGCGGUAAUACGGAGGAUCCGAGCGUUAUCCGGAUUUAUUGGGUUUAAAGGGAGCGUAGGUGGACAGUUAAGUCAGUUGUGAAAGUUUGCGGCUCAACCGUAAAAUUGCAGUUGAUACUG
This 305-nucleotide ribosomal RNA is filed under the name uncultured bacterium. Its description in RNAcentral is "bacterial SSU rRNA". It matches the Rfam family "Bacterial small subunit ribosomal RNA", at positions 333 to 635 of the family's 1533-position model. The record is from RNAcentral.